CGGGACACAAUUUGCAUUCAUUAGCAGGCAUACAUAUUAAUCCUUGCAUAUCUUUCGUUGAAUCCAAUACAAACAUGAUCCGCUCCUAGCCUCAAACAGAUGGAGGAAAGGAGUGCAAGAUGUACAAGUCAAAUCUCAUCCACAACUCAUGAGCUGUGCCUUGAAUAUACAGCAAUUACUAGUUUGAAGCCCCUUCUGAUGUUUUAGAAGCAGAAACUCCUGCCCUUGCAUCUUUUGAAACCUUUAAUGACCUCAAUUUGGACGACCUCAAUGAAUGUAUCAAAGGAGCCUCUUCCUCUUCCUCCUCAUCUUGCUUCUCUUCUUCCUGUGCAUCUUCAUGAUCAGAUCCACUAAUUGAAUCUUCCUCUUCACUUGAACUGUGUUCAUUGAAGAGUCUCUUUCCUUCUAUGUUCUGCCGCUUCCUUGGGCGACCCCUGCGUCUUACAGCAGUCCCAUCUUUCUCAUCUAGCAAACCUUCAUUCUUUGCAUACUUUUCUCGCAAGCUUUCCACAAAUGAGUUAUAGGGGCGCCAACCACUGGGAUCUUCAUCAGUGUUUAUAUUCACUGUUCGGCUUUGGACAUCUUUUAGAACUUCCAGGACAUCAGGUGUAGGAAGUUUGGAGACAAAAUGAAGCACUGCACUUUCCAGAAAAGACAGCUGUUUCGGAGCGUCUAUGAAAGCAUAUUCAAUACCUUCCUUGACAAUUUUUAAGAUGUCUUCUCUAUGCUUGUUCCGAGCAGCACCCAUGAACGUUCCAGAAAGUCGAGCAGCCAGAUCCUUACACUCCUGAAAAGAUUUUCCUGUGAAGGCUCCACCAUUGCUUCUAGAAAGUUCCUCCAAAUGCCAGUAAUGGGCCCUUUUCAAUGCUUCUAAAAAGAUAUUGGAAAUAUCAUCUUUUUUCUUUAAAACAGUGAUUAGAUGCUUAACAAUCUCUGC
RNAcentral lists this unclassified non-coding RNA (937 nucleotides) under Hevea brasiliensis (rubber tree). The record is from RNAcentral. Lineage: Eukaryota; Viridiplantae; Streptophyta; Magnoliopsida; Malpighiales; Euphorbiaceae.